UACGUAGGGGGCAAGCGUUGUCCGGAUUUAUUGGGCGUAAAGAGCGUGUAGGCGGCUUUACAGGUCCGUUGUGAAAACUCGAGGCUCAACCUCGAGACGCCGGUGGAAACCGUAAAGCUAGAGUCCGGAAGAGGAGAGUGGAAUUCCUGGUGUAGCGGUGAAAUGCGCAGAUAUCAGGAGGAACACCGGUGGCGAAGGCGGGUCUCUGGGCCGAUACUGACGCUGAGAAGCGAAAGCGUGGGGAGCGAACAGG
This 253-nucleotide ribosomal RNA is filed under the name uncultured bacterium. RNAcentral's name for it is "partial 16S ribosomal RNA". It matches the Rfam family "Bacterial small subunit ribosomal RNA", at positions 524 to 776 of the family's 1533-position model. The record is from RNAcentral.